GUGCUUGCUUGGACAGCACACGUACUAAAAUUGGAAUGAUGUGAGAAGAUUAGCAUGGCCCCUGUGCAAGGGUAGCGUGUCAGUUUGUGAAGUGUUCACUUAAUCA
RNAcentral lists this small nuclear RNA (106 nucleotides) under Procavia capensis (Cape rock hyrax). Lineage: Eukaryota; Metazoa; Chordata; Mammalia; Hyracoidea; Procaviidae. The record is from RNAcentral.